Long non-coding RNA from Paramormyrops kingsleyae, 694 nucleotides. RefSeq lists it as uncharacterized. NCBI's taxonomy places the organism in Eukaryota, Metazoa, Chordata, Actinopteri, Osteoglossiformes, Mormyridae. The record is from RefSeq and is a predicted model, not a curated record.
CAGCAACCAAGACCGUGUUACGCUUUUGAUCCCCACCACUCCAAACAAAUUGGAUAACUUAUUUAAAUUAUGUGCCACUUUUACAAGUACAGAUAAUCCAUGCAUACUGGUGUAGAUUGCUGGUAUCUCUACACAUUGAGAUGGUGGUGAUGCAUUCAGCUCAGUACAGCUUGGCUCUUGGAGGCCCAGGUCAAGGGUCAAGCCCCCUGAAUCUGCAUCCAACAGUGAUAUGUUUACUCUGCCUGCCAUGGGAUUCAAAUCUUCUCAACAAAGGCACAGAUUCCCUCACCUUUACCUUAGCUUUAAUUUAAACCUUCCAUGUUCUAAAUCCUAAUGUCCAGCCCAUCCAAACUUUGGUGAGUCUUACACUGAUGUUUAGCUGAUCCAAGGUUGUUAAAGAUUAUGCAUAUGAGAAAUGGGAUGCAGCUUCAGCCAUUGCCCAUCAUGGGUUUGCAUUGUAAAACAUAUAAUUCUGAAACGUUAAUAAUGAACAGAAAACAGCUGCUGCUUGGUUUGACAUAACAGAAACUAAUAAGGUAACCAGUGGAUAAUGAGAUAACACAUGGUCAUCCCACCCAAUACGGACACAUAUAAAAGUCUCAUUUCUCACUAUCACUGUUCUAAACAUAAGUGACAGUCAUCACCCAACAUAUUAUUUUCAAUCUAAUUUUAAUCUGUGAUUUUUUAUUUUUUA